Molecule: ribosomal RNA, 497 nt
Filed under: uncultured bacterium
Lineage: Bacteria
Description: partial 16S ribosomal RNA
Rfam family: Bacterial small subunit ribosomal RNA
Source: RNAcentral
GAUGAACGCUGGCGGCGUGCCUAAUACAUGCGAGUCGAGCGAACGGACGAGAAGCUUGCUUCUCUGAUGUUAGCGGCGGACGGGUGAGUAACACGUGAAUAACCUACCUAUAAUACUGGGAUAACUUCGGGAAACCGGCGCUAAUACCGGAUAAUAUUUUGAACCGCAUGGUUCAAAAGUGAAAGACGGUCUUGCUGUCACUUAUAGCUGGAUCCGGGCUGCAUUAGCUAGUUGGUAAGGUAACGGCUUACCAAGGCAACGAUGCAUAGACGAACUGAUAGGGGGAUCGGCCGCAUUGGAAGUGAGCCAGCGUCAAGAGUCCUACGGGACGGCCCAGUCGGCUAUCUUACGCAGUGGUCGGGAGCAUGGCGGAGCAGGGCCGCGCGUGAUAUAGAGACCUUGCGAGCGUAAUGAUCGGUUAUUAGGGGAGAACAGAUGUCGAAGGAAAUGUACACAGAUUGACGGUACCGAAUCAGAAAGCCACGGCUAACUACGUG